UUCCCCUUAGUACGGCGAGUGAAGCGGGAAUAGCUCAAAUUUGAAAUCUCCCAGGGCAACCUUGGCGAAUUGUAGUUUAGAGAAGCGCUUUCUGUGGCAGAACGCCGUCCAAGUUCUUUGGAACAAGACAUCAGAGAGGGUGAGAAUCCCGUAUCUGACGGCGAGUUGUUCUGUUGCUAUACGGGGCGUUUUCCAAGAGUCGGGUUGUUUGGGAAUGCAGCCCAAAAUGGGUGGUAAAUUUCAUCUAAAGCUAAAUAUUGGCACGAGACCGAUAGCGAACAAGUACCGUGAGGGAAAGAUGAAAAGCACUUUGAAAAGAGAGUUAAAUAGCACGUGAAGCCGUUAAAAUGGAAACGAUUAAAGUCAGCAGUGCUUGUCUAGCAAUCAAUUUUGGCGAUUUUUGGUAUGGUGGUUUCUCUACAUGAGGGCUGUUAUACACAAGGGUUGUCAGAGUGCACUUGUUGGGCGUAGCAGGUCAACAUCGGUUUGUUGAAUGGGGUAAAGAUACGAGGAAGGUAGCUGGAGUGGGGCAACUUACUCCAGUGUUAAGCCUUGUAUCCGAGACAUUUGAUAGACCGAGGAUAUCAAAAGAGUGUGUGCCUCUGCGCUAGGGGGUUGUCAACGUGGUGUUCAUACAGGGCGUGAACAGUGUGUCAGAGCUGUGGUUGAGUGCUAGGGGUGCUAGAUUUGGAGACUCCCCAUAUAACACACGUGAGAUGUUGACAAAGUGGUUUUAACAGACGCGUCUUGACACACAGACCAGAGACUCUCACAUGCGCGCGUCUCUUAGUGUGACACUCUCGUGAGCGGAAUGUGAAUGUAAGUGUAUUUUAGUGAAAUCUACGUGGGCAUCAUCGACCGAUCUGGAUUUUCUUUUGAAAGAUUUGAGUAAGAGCGUAUCUGUUGGGACCCGAAAGAUGGUGAACUAUGCCUGAAUAGGGUGAAGCCAGAGGAAACUCUGGUGGAGGCUCGUAGCGGUUCUGACGUGCAAAUCGAUCGUCAAAUUUGGGUAUAGGGGCGAAAGACUAAUCGAACCNNNNNNNNNNNNNNNNNNNNNNNNNNNNNNNNNNNNNNNNNNNNNNNNNNNNNNNNNNNNNNNNNNNNCGGGUAAAGCGAUGAUUAGAGGAUUUAGGGUUGAAACAACCUUAACCUAUUCUCAAACUUUAAAUAGGUAAGAGGUCCGACUUGCUUAACCGAAGCCGGACUUUCUGAAUGUGGAGCUCCUAGUGGGCCAUUUUUGGUAAGCAGAACUGGCGAUGCGGGAUGAACCGAACGUAAAGUUAAGGUGCCAAAAUCAACGCUCAUCAGACCCCACAAAAGGUGUUGGUUGAUCUAGACAGCAGGACGGUGGCCAUGGAAGUCGGAAUCCGCUAAGGAGUGUGUAACAACUCACCUGCCGAAUCAACUAGCCCUGAAAAUGGAUGGCGCUUAAGCGUUGUACCUAUACUUUACCGCCGUACAGCAAAUGCGAGGCUGCGGCGAGUAGGUGGGCGCGGGGGUGGUGGAGAAGCCUAGAGCGUGAGCUUGGGUGGAACUGCCCUUGGUGCAGAUCUUGGUGGUAGUAGCAAAUAUUCAAAUGAGAACUUUGAAGACUGAAGUGGAGCAAGGUUCCAUGUGAACAGCAGUUGGACAUGGGUUAGUCGAUCCUAAGAGAUUGGGAAACUCUGUUUUAAAGUGUGUUGAGUGGUGUUGGGGGGGUAAUCCUUUCUUAUUGCGCAAACGCCGCCCACAUGGAAAGGGAAUCAGGUUAUUAUUCUUGAACCGGGAAACGGAUAUUUGUGUUCCAGGGUAAAACCUGUAGUCCAGCCGUUUUUUGGGGCAACUGGAGGGCUGGGAUAUGUGGUAACCCAACCAAAUUGGGAGACGCUGCCGGGACCCUUAGGAAGAUUUUUUUUUUUUUUUUAACGAGGUUUUUUGAGUACCCUGGAAUCAGAUUAUCUGGAGAUAGGGUACAAAACUCGGAAAAGCAUCACAGUUCUGGUGAUGUCUGGUGCGCUCUUGACAGCCCUUGAAAAUCCGAGGGAGAGAAUGAUUUUCGUUCCUGGUCGUACUGAUAACCGCAGCAGGUCUCCAAGGUGAACAGCCUCUAGUUGAUAGAACAAUGUAGGUAAGGGAAGUCGGCAAAAUAGAUCCGUAACUUCGGGAUAAGGAUUGGCUCUAUCGACCGAGCUUGGUGGGCCUUGUGUUUGAAGCUUUUGGACCUUUGGUUGGGUCUACCUGUGUGUCCUUUCGGGAUGUGUGGKUUGGACCUGGCUAGGACUGGGAGUGGAUAUGCAAGGCUAUGGGGGGCUGGGCAACCUGCUCUUUCUAUGCUCCUGUGGGCGAUUAACGGCCAACUUAGAAAUGGUGCGCACAAGGGGA
RNAcentral lists this ribosomal RNA (2361 nucleotides) under Salpingoeca fusiformis. Its description in RNAcentral is "partial 28S ribosomal RNA". It matches the Rfam family "Eukaryotic large subunit ribosomal RNA", at positions 75 to 2132 of the family's 3401-position model. Lineage: Eukaryota; Choanoflagellata; Craspedida; Salpingoecidae. The record is from RNAcentral.